Molecule: ribosomal RNA, 1329 nt
Filed under: Triticum aestivum (bread wheat)
Lineage: Eukaryota; Viridiplantae; Streptophyta; Magnoliopsida; Poales; Poaceae
Description: partial small subunit ribosomal RNA
Source: RNAcentral
AUGUCUGUUUUAUAUGCUUGUAAGCUCUGCUUCCUCCUUGCUCUGCUGAAUUCGGCCAGCCACGCCGUCGCCGGCAAUGUGGCACCACCGACACUGAGCGCCGGAUUCAGUCUGCCUAUCGUGUCCAACCACAACACAGCCGGCGGGCUCGGGCAGUUUGACGCGAACCUCACGAGCAUAGGUCCGCACAUAGCACCCGUGGGGUGGCCCUUGUACGGCGUCCUCGUCGGCGUUGGCUCUGGCCAAACCCGGCACUUUUACAAGCUCGGGCUGGACCUCGUCGGCAAUCUGACGUGGAUGCAGUGCAAGCCCUGCGUGCCCGAGGUUCGGCAGGAGGGCGCCGUCUUCAACUCUGCUGAGUCCCCUCGCUACAAGCACAUGAAGCCCGCAGACCCCAAGUGUACGCCCCCCUACACCCCCUCCGGCCAGAACCGGUGCAGCUUCUACACCACCUCCUGGAACGUCGCCGCGCACGGCUACCUCGGCAGCGACACGUUUGCCUUCGCCGGCAGCCCCGGCGCAGGAGGACACAACAGGGACGUUGACAACCUCAUCUUGGGUUGCGCACACACGACGAACGGGUUCGAGCACCUGGACCACAACAUUCUCGCCGGGGUCCUGAGCUUGAGCAGGCACCCGACGUCGUUCAUGAGCCAGCUCACCGCACGCGGGCUGGCCGACUCACGGUUCUCAUAUUGUCUCUUCCCCGGACAGAGCCACCCCAACGCCAGGCACGGGUUCCUCCGCUUCGGCCGCGACAUCCCGAGGCACGACCACGCGCACAGCACGCCGCUGCUGUUCACUGGAUCGGGCUACGGCCAAAGUAGCAUGUACUACAUCCACGUCUUCAGCAUCAGCUUGAACGGGAAAAGGCUUAACGGGGUAAAGACGGCGAUGUUUAGGCGGGAUCCACAAACCCGUCGCGGGGGGUUCGUCGUCGACCCCGGGACUCCCCUGACCAGGCUGGCUCGCGCGGCGUAUGACGUCGUGGAGGCCGAGGUCGCGGCAAACAUGCACAAGCAGGGGGCGCGCCGCUCGACGGUGCCGGUGCAGGGGUACCGCCUCUGCUUUGGCUCGUGGGGCCACGCGCACCUCCCGAGCUUGACCGUGACCCUGUACGAAGACGCGACCAGGCUUUUUAUCAAGCCGGAACUGUUAUUCAUGAGGGUGAACCAUGAGCACCUGUGCUUCGCCGUCGUGCCGGACGAGGAGAUGACGGUGCUCGGCGCGGCGCAGCAGGUGGACACGCGGUUCACAUUUGACCUCCCGGGGAAUCGUCUCUACUUUGCCCAGGAGCAUUGUAGUGCUGACACUCGCCCAACUGUCUAG